This is a long non-coding RNA of Tyto alba (common barn owl), 2864 nucleotides long. RefSeq lists it as uncharacterized. Lineage: Eukaryota; Metazoa; Chordata; Aves; Strigiformes; Tytonidae. The transcript is spliced from 2 exons. The record is from RefSeq and is a predicted model, not a curated record.
UGCCUGGAUUCUGCUGCCUCCAGGGCUCAGCUGAGCUGCGUUUCCUCCCGGGGGAGUUUGGGGUCUUUGCAGUUUGGAAAACCCCAAAUCUGUCCGUGCACGGACCCACCGUGCGAAGGCCAAGCUCAGGAACCGCAGCAGGGAAGGGGCUUUGCUUUUCUUUCCUUUUCCCUUGCUGGUACCCGGUGAGGCCUUUGCUUCCCAGCCACCUCCUAAAGCAUCCCAGCCCCUUCCCAGGGGGAAUUCUGCUCCCUCCAAGCUGGGGGGAGCUGCACAUCAGCAGGUAAACACAGACAGGGAUCCCUUUCCCUACCCAGCCCAGGGAACCCUGCAAGUAUUUUUCCUUUUCUUAUUUUUUUUUUUUUUUGCAAAGAAGUGGCAGUAAUAAAUACUUUUUUUCCCCUCACCUGUGCCAUGCUUAGGGGGAAACGGCCUUCAGUUCUAACAAUGGAAAGGUUGGUUUUUUUUUUUUUUUUUGCCUGUUUCCUGAAGUCUGCUGUCCACAGACAUGUCUGCGAAGCCUCCUCAGGUGCUCUAAAAAGUUCCCAUUUUUGUCCCAGACUGAAGCCGUUCCCUGCGAGUCCUGCCCUCCAACCACCCUCAGGAGGGUUGGCAGAAGCCGCUACCUCAAAGUCACACAUCAAAUAUUCACAUUUUUCCCCACAUCUGAGCUACCCCUUUUUCCCAGGACUAUUUCUACUCUGGGACAUUCACUUGGCCUCCUCCUUCAAAAAUAAACUCCUAAUUUUUAACAUCAAGCCGGAUUUUGGUGUUACCCUUUCUGUUCCCCUCCGAAAGCUCCACAGGUCUCCCAACCAGUAAAGGAGCACAGCCAGCCAGCGACGUACAAAACUACCUAUUCUUCUCUCCCCUUUCCAGUUUGGGGUGAAAUGGAGCCGUUUUAGGUCCCUGGGUACACUGGGCUCCCGCCCCCACACACAGCCCUGGAGGCAGCGAGUUUCCAUGGAAGUGAUGCCAAGGUUGAAGGUGCUGUGGAGUAAAUCCUGCAGGGAACAGGCAUCAGGAGUGCGACAUCCCAGCAAUUCACCUGCUUUAAAAGAAGGGAAAAAAAAAAAAAAAAAAGGAGUAUUUUAGCUUUCACACAGCUAAACACAAGAGGAAAUUUAAGCAGCAGCACGUGACACCAGCCUGGGGCCAUCCCAGGUCAGAGGGCACGGAUAUGACCUGUAAAUAAAGUUAUUUUUUUGUUACAUAAAAAUAAUUGCAGGUACUACACCUGCAUCUGAAGUAUCGUGGUUUUCAAAUCGCAUCUUCCUGUUCCUCUCGUGUCUCUCUCCGGGUGUUGAAGACCAGAAGUGGGAACAACCUGGGUCUGACCAACAGUGAGGCUGAGCACACAAACACCUGCCAGCUUUGCAAACAAUGCAGGUUUUACGCUCCCUCUGGAAACACAUGGGGACACCAACAAGGAAUUUGCACUUUCAGCCAGCUCGGAGGCAGAGAGGCCAAAGCCAUCAAAGAACGAAGAGGACAGAAAUUCUUCUGGAGAAAACAAGUAAAAUAUACCAAUAAAAUGCAAAUGGCCACACAACUGCUUUUGACACGAGCCCACACCCUCCCCGGGAAGCAGCCCAGGUCCUCACCCAACACAGACCGGGCUAUUUGGAGCUGGGUUUUGUUUGCUUUUCAGAAGCUAGAAUUAGUCCAAAACCAAAAGAUUAAAAAAAAAAAACAAAAAAACCCAACGGACUUUUUGGUGCGUGCGGAGGGUGUGUGAAUAUUUGCCGCCCUGUGUGGGGGGAAGGCGAGGCUCACCAGGCUGAUUUCCCACCCCAGGUGAGAGCAGCAGAGCUGGCAGCUGGCUGCUCCCAGAUGUUUCCCAACUGUGAUUUAAUAAUGGAGAUAUUUUCAACACAGCACAACUUUCCUUGACAACAACCCAUUAAGUAUUGACAAUUAAAGCACUGUGGAUUCAUUUGUGGCUCUUUUAUUCCCUCUGAACUGACAAAACAAGAAAACCCGGAUUUUUGAUUUCUUGACCUCGAGCACUUUUCCCAGGGAUCAUUUGGGAUGCAAGUGGGUGUCUGCAUUUCACACACCUGGAAGGAACCGGAUAAUCCCCAAUUUAGCCAGGAAGUGGGAACAAAUCCUGAGCGGCGAGGCCGGGCACUGCCCCCUCGCCCACGCCACGGCCGUCUUCCCACAUCAAGGAGCAAAAUCAACCCCCAGGGGCUGGGACCAAGCCCUGUACUGCGCCCGGAGACGGGUCACAGCACCCCGCUUCAAACCCAAGGAGAAACCAGGCUCCCCUCAUUAUUUUAAGGUAUUAAUAGAGCAGCGAGCCCCCAGGUUGCUGUGCAGAGGGGAGAGAGCGAGGUGUGUGUCCUCGCCCGGCCACGGGGCGGGCAGGGCUGAAAAGGGAGCGGCAGACAACAGUGAUGCUGGACAGGAUCUCACGUUUAUUAUUGAGAAGUGAUUAAUGGUGAAAAGAAAGGCAACGCCCAUUCCUCAUUGGCUUAACAAGAAACUGAAGAAACAUAUUCACUACACAUUUUACAAUUAUUUUUUUUUUUUUUGUCCAAAAUUCAUUUUUCUGUAAACAAAACAAGUUUUUACCACUGUUCUUAGCUUUCAAAAUCAAAUUAAUCCAGACUUAAUCUGUAAAUCUGUAUAAUGCACAAGAACAGAACAUUUCUUAGGACUCCUAGUACUUGACUUUUGAGUAACAAAGGGUCAGAGAAAAAUGAACCACCUUUAGGACACCACCUCGUGGACAAUUUCUGUUCAAUUCUUCUUAGGCCAAAACCCCAACUUCCUUGUAGAAUUCCUCCUCUUCUUCUAGGCCAGGGGGGUGGGGUGGGGGGGCAGGGAAGAAAAAAAAAAAGUUACUCCACUUUUCAUGG